AGAGUUUGAUCAUGGCUCAGGAUGAACGCUAGCUACAGGCUUAACACAUGCAAGUCGAGGGGCAGCAUGAACUUAGCUUGCUAAGUUUUGAUGGCACCGGCGCACGGGUGAGUAACACGUAUCCAACCUGCCGAUGACUCGGGGGAUAGCCUUUCGAAAAGAAAGAUUAAUACCCGAUGGCAUAGUUCUUCCGCAUGGUGGAACUAUUAAAGAAUUUCGGUCAUCGAUGGGGAUGCGUUCCAUUAGGUUGUUGGCGGGGUAACGGCCCACCAAGCCUUCGAUGGAUAGGGGUUCUGAGAGGAAGGUCCCCCACAUUGGAACUGAGACACGGUCCAAACUCCUACGGGAGGCAGCA
RNAcentral lists this ribosomal RNA (355 nucleotides) under uncultured bacterium. RNAcentral's name for it is "bacterial SSU rRNA". It matches the Rfam family "Bacterial small subunit ribosomal RNA", at positions 8 to 353 of the family's 1533-position model. The record is from RNAcentral.